Molecule: ribosomal RNA, 371 nt
Filed under: Microbulbifer okhotskensis
Lineage: Bacteria; Pseudomonadati; Pseudomonadota; Gammaproteobacteria; Cellvibrionales; Microbulbiferaceae
Description: partial 23S ribosomal RNA
Rfam family: Bacterial large subunit ribosomal RNA
Source: RNAcentral
CUGUAAGCCGUUGAAGGGAAAGCUGUGAGGCAUCCUGGAGGUAUCAGAAGUGCGAAUGCUGACAUGAGUAACGAUAAUGGGGGUGAAAAACCUCCACGCCGGAAGACCAAGGUUUCCUAUCCAACGCUAUUCGAGGUAGGGUGAGUCGGCCCCUAAGGCGAGGCAGAAAUGCGUAGUCGAUGGGAAGCAGGUUAAUAUUCCUGCACCGGCGGUAACUGCGAUGAGGGGACGGAGAAGGCUAGGCGAGCGCAGCGUUGGUUGUCUGCGUUUAAGGAUGUAGGUUGGGGGAUUAGGCAAAUCCGGUCCCCUAAGACUGAGAUCUGAUGACGAGGUUCUUAGGAACUGAAGUCGUUGAUGCCACGCUUCCAGGA